UACGGAGGGGGCUAGCGUUGUUCGGAAUUACUGGGCGUAAAGCGCGCGUAGGCGGUUUUGUAAGUUAGAGGUGAAAGCCCGGAGCUUAACUCCGGAACUGCCUUUAAGACUGCAUCGCUAGAAUCGUGGAGAGGUGAGUGGAAUUCCGAGUGUAGAGGUGAAAUUCGUAGAUAUUCGGAAGAACACCAGUGGCGAAGGCGACUCACUGGACACGUAUUGACGCUGAGGUGCGAAAGCGUGGGGAGCAAACAGG
Molecule: ribosomal RNA, 253 nt
Filed under: uncultured bacterium
Lineage: Bacteria
Description: partial 16S ribosomal RNA
Rfam family: Bacterial small subunit ribosomal RNA
Source: RNAcentral